UAUUUUCUCUAUCGUGUGUUUUUGUGUUUGCUGUAAUGAAACGGGACGUAGUUAGCGUGCACAAAAGUGCCAGAAGAUACCUCGUGUCUCGCUGCGAACUCGCCGUAUGCGUGGCACGCCAGGCAAAUGUGGACCAACGAUUUUUAUGUCGUGGCCUUUGUCUGGUUGUCGUGGAAAGUUGGGUGGACGUCGAAAAAAAAUAAUGCGUAUUGUUAGCGUGCCUCAGCUCGUCCACUACGCAGCGACAUCUAUGAUGGGAGUAAUGUCGUCGACGCAGCACCGGCAACUUGGAGAGCGUCGUACCAUUGAAAAGGUAAGCAGUCGUGCUUGCUAAGUACACGUGUGUUGUGUGUGCUCCUCGCGUGUGCAUAGCGUACCUUGCGAACGUAGGAAAUUGAACUUCUGCGACAACAGUGAAACCUGUGCUUGUGCAUGCUGCGCGCUGUUUGUCAGAAUUUAGUUAAGCAAAUUUAUUGCUUUGAUGCGAAAUUGAAUAUCCUGAUAAGCGUUUUCUUCCGAUGAGAAAAAUUACGUUCGAAAAUAAUCGUGUUCACCUGUACGUGCGCUUCCGCUUUUCUGCUGAAGUUGCAUAAUAACGACUGAUCUGUCUCUUCACCGAUUAUUACGGCAAUUACGUUUUUUCGCUUAUAAACUCUUCGACGUUGUAAAUAAUCUAUGCUUACCAGGUUUUCGGUUUACGAGCAGUUUGAGGAGAAAACGAGAAUGUAAGCAGUCACAGUUUGCUACUAGUACAGCUUUCUUUUCAAAACAAGGGGUGUUGCCAUAACUAUGACGUAACUAAACAUGGCAGGGGAAAGUUGUUUAAACUAAGUCAUGCAAGCAAACUCUAGUAUGUAAACAAACAUUUCUUGUAUGUGCUGCUGCGUGCGUGUUCAAAAUUUUACUUUGAUGAAGGGGUCCCUAUUAUCAUGACAUUCUUCAGUGACUCGACCUUGUGCUCCGUUGCCACCCUGCACUAGUCCAGACAUGUUUUUAUGUGCACCUUACAUGUGUUCACAAUAUGACAGUUUUAUUGUGCCAAUCAAUGCUAUAAGUUAACACACUACUCAUUUUGCAGUGGUGAGACUGUGACCCUAUAGCAGUGUCAACAUAAUGGCAGGGAAAUGCAGGGAUCCCGCAGCCAUGGCUACAGCAGGACAGGGUGUAAUCUGGAUGUCAUGUCAGACCUGAAGCCUACAGCUUCAGAUUGUGCGCUUGACUGUCAAGCCUUGUGAAGGAGAGGAUGGAGGCUUUUAUUUCCCCUUACCACCCGGAUGCGUCACAUCAUAUGCCUACGGUGAAAUACGAGGGAACUAGCCUGCUGCAAGCAAGAGCCCUCCAUGUACAGCUCGAAUCGAUCAAGAUUGACGAAGAUGACCUUGUCUCUGGCCUUGCCAUGCAGAUUGCCCUUUACUGGAUAUUCGACAUUGUUUUUGCGCCAAAGGCA
Dermacentor silvarum is the source of this 1447-nucleotide long non-coding RNA. RefSeq lists it as uncharacterized. The transcript has 3 exons. Lineage: Eukaryota; Metazoa; Arthropoda; Arachnida; Ixodida; Ixodidae. The record is from RefSeq and is a predicted model, not a curated record.